AGAGUUUGAUUCCUGGCUCAGAACGAACGCUGGCGGCAGGCCUAACACAUGCAAGUCGAACGCCCCGCAAGGGGAGUGGCAGACGGGUGAGUAACACGUGGGAACCUUCCCUAUAGUACGGAAUAGCCCAGGGAAACUUGGAGUAAUACCGUAUACGCCCGAAAGGGGAAAGAAUUUCGCUAUAGGAUGGGCCCGCGUAGGAUUAGCUAGUUGGUGAGGUAAUGGCUCACCAAGGCGACGAUCCUUAGCUGGUUUGAGAGAACGACCAGCCACACUGGGACUGAGACACGGCCCAGACUCCUACGGGAGGCAGCAGUGGGGAAUAUUGGACAAUGGGCGCAAGCCUGAUCCAGCCAUGCCGCGUGAGUGAUGAAGGCCUUAGGGUUGUAAAGCUCUUUUGGCGGGGACGAUAAUGACGGUACCCGCAGAAU
RNAcentral lists this ribosomal RNA (431 nucleotides) under Hyphomicrobium denitrificans. Its description in RNAcentral is "bacterial SSU rRNA". It matches the Rfam family "Bacterial small subunit ribosomal RNA", at positions 8 to 487 of the family's 1533-position model. Lineage: Bacteria; Pseudomonadati; Pseudomonadota; Alphaproteobacteria; Hyphomicrobiales; Hyphomicrobiaceae. The record is from RNAcentral.